UUGAAAGCUUUUGGGGGAUACUGUUGCUGGCUUUUAACGAGGCAUGUGCACGUAUCUCUUAAAUCCAUUCAUCCACCUGUGCACCUUUUGUAGAAUGUCUCAUUUCAGAUCGGUUUGCAAAGUGUCUUUAAUGACCUUGUAGAUAAUGGUCUGGAAAGAGCUUCUAUGUUUUUAACAAACAAGUUAAGCAUGUUUAGAAUGUCAUUUUAUUGGGACUUGAUUGACCCUUUAAACUUGUA
RNAcentral lists this unclassified non-coding RNA (239 nucleotides) under uncultured Gymnopus. RNAcentral describes it as "sequence contains ITS1". Lineage: Eukaryota; Fungi; Basidiomycota; Agaricomycetes; Agaricales; Tricholomataceae. The record is from RNAcentral.